CGCCUGUUUAUCAAAAACAUCUUUAGUUAAAAAAACUAAUUUUGCCUGCCCAGUGAAAAUUUAACGGCCGCAGUAUAUUAACUGUGCAAAGGUAGCAUAAUCCUUUGUCUCUUGAUUAGAGACUAGAAUGAACGGCCUGACGAAAGGUUAACUUUCUCCCUUUUUCUUUUAACUUACUAUAAGAGUUAAAAAGCUCUUAAUUAUCAGAAAGACGACAAGACCCUGUAAAACUUUACUUCUUAAGGAUUUUUUGAAAAUUUAAUUUUUUCCAAUCUCGAGUUUAGUUGGGGCGACUCUUUUAAUAUAAACAAAAAUUAAUUUAACAUAUUGAAUGAUUUUUUCAAACGCUUCUACUUCAUAACAAGUUACUUCAGGGAUAACAGCGCUACUUCUCUUUAGAGUUCUCAUCGUCAGAGAAAUGUGCGACCUCGAUGUUGAAUUGAA
RNAcentral lists this ribosomal RNA (444 nucleotides) under Neonaesa rugosa. Its description in RNAcentral is "partial 16S ribosomal RNA". It matches the Rfam family "Bacterial large subunit ribosomal RNA", at positions 1797 to 2541 of the family's 2925-position model. The record is from RNAcentral. Lineage: Eukaryota; Metazoa; Arthropoda; Malacostraca; Isopoda; Sphaeromatidae.